AGCGGCCCAGCCCGCGAAGUUUUUCCCCAAAAUCACAAGCAUGCCGCCGCCCCACGCUCCUUUCAUUCCCCACCAUGAAAUCCCUAGCUUCUCUCGUUCCCCACGCACACCGACUCCUGACGCCGGUCGAUCCCCACACCUCCCACCUCCGGCCACGCCGCCCGGGGCUACCACCAGUCGAUUCCCACGCCGUCCCGCCGCCGCCCCAUGCCUCCUUGCUGCUGCAGCGCCGCCCACACCGUACUGCCCUACAGCGCCGCCCAACACCGUCCUACCUCUCCACCGCCGGCUCCACGCCCUCGUGCUCUCUCUCGCGGUGGUCGCCUCCAUCCAGUGACCUUGCUGCCACCCUCCCAUCUCGACCAUCCAGCUCAAGGAGACACACGCAGUGGUAGCGGUGGCGAUUUGGAUCGGGGAAGCGUGCGGCUGGUCAAGGGCAUCCCUCUGUCUUUGGCUGGGCAAGGGCACCGGUGCGGGCGAGAACUCAAGAGUUGAAGCUGAGGAAAACAAAGAAGGUGAAGAAGAUGAUGAAGACGAUGAUGAAGAUGAUGAUGAAGAGCCCUUUGUUCGUAGAAGAGUUAUUGCAAAGCCCCCCCUGCAAAAAGCUCCUCAUCCCAUCAAGAUGAAGUCCUAAUUGGUAUGGAUGUGCUUCUAUAUGCAUGGACUGGUCCUGAAACUCCUGUUGCUAAGGCAGCAAUUAUCUCAGUUGUCCAGACACAGUUGCGGGCUCGGAUCCCCUUGGACCAGCACUUAUGAGGUUGUUGUGAAUGUGAUCAGGAAGGAUGCUACGCUGCCUUAUGAAUAUGAUGGUUUACGAUUUGUCACUGAUGCAGUCAUAGGGUCCAUUGCAUGGCCAUCUAGCAAGGAAAGACAUACAAAAGGACCGGAAGGAACCAUGAAGAUGGCAGUUUGCGUCAGCUAGACAUUUUGUGUAAUGGAGCAAAAACAGCGAUUUUUAGUAUCAUUUUGUAAACCUAUAUGGUGUCUUGUCAUCUGGGUAUUUUGUGUAAUGGAGCGAACAAUGAAUUGGCGGACAUGCAUCUAUCAUUUUGUAAAUCUAUCAGGUG
This 1067-nucleotide ribosomal RNA is filed under the name Triticum aestivum (bread wheat). RNAcentral's name for it is "partial small subunit ribosomal RNA". The record is from RNAcentral. Lineage: Eukaryota; Viridiplantae; Streptophyta; Magnoliopsida; Poales; Poaceae.